This 72-nucleotide transfer RNA is filed under the name Ovis aries (sheep). It matches the Rfam family "tRNA". Rfam says of the family: Transfer RNA (tRNA) molecules are approximately 80 nucleotides in length. Their secondary structure includes four short double-helical elements and three loops (D, anti-codon, and T loops). Further hydrogen bonds mediate the characteristic L-shaped molecular structure. tRNAs have two regions of fundamental functional importance: the anti-codon, which is responsible for specific mRNA codon recognition, and the 3' end, to which the tRNAs corresponding amino acid is attached (by aminoacyl-tRNA synthetases). tRNAs cope with the degeneracy of the genetic code in two manners: having more than one tRNA (with a specific anti-codon) for a particular amino acid; and 'wobble' base-pairing, i.e. permitting non-standard base-pairing at the 3rd anti-codon position. The record is from Rfam by way of RNAcentral. Lineage: Eukaryota; Metazoa; Chordata; Mammalia; Artiodactyla; Bovidae.
UCCCUGGUGGCUCAGAUGGGAAAGAAUCUGCCUGCAAUGCAGAAGACCUAGGUUUGAGCCCUGGGUUGGGAA